CCGAGAUAGAGUCCUUCACAGGAUUCGACCCUCCCACCCUUUGUGUAUAUACCUCUGUUGCUUUGGCGGUACCCCGCGGUACACGGCGUUGCUUAAAUAUGUCGAGUCCCCGGCCCGCCAGUGGCCCUAUUCUAUUCUGUUAUAUUAGUGAUGUCUGAGCAUGCAAAAAUAAUCAAAACUUUCAACAACGGAUCUCUUGGUUCUGGCAUCGAUGAAGAACGCAGCGAAAUGCGAUAAGUAAUGUGAAUUGCAGAAUUCAGUGAAUCAUCGAAUCUUUGAACGCACAUUGCGCCCUCUGGUAUUCCGGGGGGCAUGCCUGUUCGAGCGUCAUUACACCUCUCAAGCUCAGCUUGGUAUUGGGCCCUUUCGUCCCCUGUGGGCGGGCUUGAAAAUCAGUGGCGGUGCAGCCGGUACUCAAGCGUAAUAGUUAUCAUAUCCCGCUUUGGAGUUUACCGGGUGGACCCGCCAGACAACCCCUCUAAUAUUUCAAUGG
Molecule: ribosomal RNA, 493 nt
Filed under: Circinaria mansourii
Lineage: Eukaryota; Fungi; Ascomycota; Lecanoromycetes; Pertusariales; Megasporaceae
Description: eukaryotic LSU rRNA
Rfam family: 5.8S ribosomal RNA (bases 177-330)
Source: RNAcentral